RNAcentral lists this ribosomal RNA (460 nucleotides) under uncultured bacterium. RNAcentral's name for it is "partial 16S ribosomal RNA". It matches the Rfam family "Bacterial small subunit ribosomal RNA", at positions 338 to 795 of the family's 1533-position model. The record is from RNAcentral.
CCUACGGGUGGCUGCAGUGAGGAAUAUUGGUCAAUGGACGAAAGUCUGAACCAGCCAAGUAGCGUGAAGGAUGACUGCCCUAUGGGUUGUAAACUUCUUUUAUAAAGGAAUAAAACGAGGCACGUGUGCCUUUUUGCAUGUACUUUAUGAAUAAGGAUCGGCUAACUCCGUGCCAGCAGCCGCGGUAAUACGGAGGAGCCGAGCGUUAUCCGGGUUUAUUGGGUGUAAAGGGAGCGUAGAUGGGUUAGUAAGUCAGUUGUGAAAGUUUGCGGCUCAACCGUAAAAUUGCAAUUGAGACUGGCAGGCUUGAGUACAGUUGAGGUAGGCGGAAUUCGUGGUGUAGCGGUGAAAUGCUUAGAUAUCACGAAGAACCCCGAUUGCGAAGGCAGCUUACUAAACUGUGACUGACAUUGAUGCUCGAAAGCGUGGGGAUCAAACAGGAUUAGAUACCCGUGUAGUC